CACUGGUCUUGCGGGUUUGGAGAAGGAGGCUCCUGAACCUCCAUAGACUUGAGGGAGCUCCGUGCAUUUGAAGAGUUGGAGAUGGUGGAAAUCUAGGAUAGGUGUUGUGAAGAACAAGAGCUAAGUCUGAUGAGGCCAUCAGGGACCAGCAACAGAAACAUGAGGUCGGUCCAGCCUGGGGCAGUUUCUCUCCAAGAGAAGAUGGAGGAAGCACAGCUAAGUGACUGGAAAUUUGACAUGCCUUGAUGUCAAGAGAUACCUGUACCUCUUGGAAACAACAAACCCUUUGUGGUACCUCAGUGGGAUCAUCAGUGGGGCAUGGCCCUCUCUUGGACAACGUUCUCAUGCUGCUUUGCAAAGAGAAUGUACAACAGGAUUUGUACAGGCCAAUCUAACUCUUGAACCAGAGAACCAUCUACUUGCUGCUGCUGCUAAGUCGCUUCAGUCAUGUCCAACUCUGUGCAACCCCACAGACGGCAGCCCACCAGGCUCCGCCAUCCCUGGGAUUCUCCAGGCAAGAACACUGGAGUGGGUUGCCA
Molecule: long non-coding RNA, 539 nt
Organism: Bubalus bubalis (water buffalo)
Lineage: Eukaryota; Metazoa; Chordata; Mammalia; Artiodactyla; Bovidae
Exons: 4
Source: RefSeq, a predicted model, not a curated record